Long non-coding RNA from Eptesicus fuscus (big brown bat), 617 nucleotides. RefSeq lists it as uncharacterized. The record is from RefSeq and is a predicted model, not a curated record. NCBI's taxonomy places the organism in Eukaryota, Metazoa, Chordata, Mammalia, Chiroptera, Vespertilionidae. The transcript has 3 exons.
AAGUCAAGCAAAUGAACAGGCAUGACACUUCCUGUAAAAAUGAAAAACAACUACCUUUGAUCACCCUAUUUAACUGAAAUUUAAGUAACCAAGUGAUUCAGGAAUUCUAGUAAACAUGUACCCUGGAGAAGACAACUAAAAUGACAGCUAAUUUGGCAGGAUACCCAGCUGAUGCGUGAGCCCAAGGCACCCUGAGUCGGAGGAAAGACCCACACGACGGCAGCCAGGACCUUGCUUCCACCUGCCAGACUUUCCUGAUGCUGGUGCCCUGCUCAAGCCUCUGCAGGACCUCCGUGCCCAGACUCUCCAUUGCUAGGUUCUACCCUCCUUAGCAAGCCCUCAAACCCCAUCCUGUGCCACACCUCCCUAGCCUACCCUCUGCUUCCACUUUUACCUAAGGACUCACCUCUCUCUAUCAGGAUAUACUGCUUCCUUUGCUCACUGCCAGCAGCUGGGUUGACCCUAACCCAAGCCCAGGAACCAAUUUCACUUCCCAAGCCCUUCAGGUCUAUCGGAUGUUGCCACUUUUCAAGAUUCUUUCUGCUUGAAGCAUCAUUAGAAGAAAAUGGAUGAGAGGAUAAGCUUCAGAACAGUGAUGUGCAGCCUGAGAACUCUGA